AGCGAACGCUGGCGGCAGGCCUAAAACAUGCAGGUCGAACGGAUCCUUCGGGAUUAGUGGCGGACGGGUGAGUAACACGUGGGAACGUGCCUUUAGGUUCGGAACAACUCAGGGAAACUUGAGCUAAUACCGAAUGUGCCCUUCGGGGGAAAGAUUUAUCGCCUUUAGAGCGGCCCGCGUCUGAUUAGCUUGUUGGUGAGGUAAAGGCUCACCAAGGCGACGAUCAGUAGCUGGUCUGAGAGGAUGAUCAGCCACACUGGGACUGAGACACGGCCCAGACUCCUACGGGAGGCAGCAGUUAGGAAUCUUGCGCAAUGGGGGAAACCCUGACGCAGCCAUGCCGCGUGAAUGAUGAAGGUCUUAGGAUUGUAAAAUUCUUUCAGCGGGGACGAUAAUGACGGUACCCGCAGAAGAAGCCCCGGCUAACUUCGUG
Molecule: ribosomal RNA, 433 nt
Filed under: uncultured bacterium
Lineage: Bacteria
Description: bacterial SSU rRNA
Rfam family: Bacterial small subunit ribosomal RNA
Source: RNAcentral